CCUAAAGGUAUUAUUGAGCUUAGUUCACUGUGUGUUACUCAUACAGGAAAUGACAUCAACGGGUCAAAAGUAAAGUAAAAAAAAAAACUCACACACAAAAAAAAUAAAAAAAAAAUACAAAGAGAAAAAAGUGUGCAGAGCAGGAUACAGGAUGCUUUGCGCACGUUAUCAUCGUUUGGAUAGAUGGAUGCAGAGAGGACAAGCCGCGCAAACAGAGGCUCACUGAACCUGCCCACACAAGACAUAUAUCAAGUCUGAUUGAGUGCUCCGAGAGGGACCCCAACAUUUUUGAACCACCAAGGGUGUCAUUUGCCAGAGGAAGCGAAGUGAGACAAACUGCCCACCCCCAGUCCGUCUGGAAACAUCUUGUUUUCCAAGCUGCAAGGUAAGCACUAUGCUAUUGUCAAUCAGUUGUCAUAAUUAAGAGGGGAUGGCCUUUCUGUACUGUGUACCUACCACAAAGAAACUGCAACAUUCUGCGGCCUUGUAUGCCUGAAGUCCCUAUUUCUAUAGUUAACUAAGACUUGUUAAGAUCGAUGAAGAUAUCUUCUGUCAGAAACUCAGGAGAAAUUGAUCAGGCUGAGGUAGGUUCUCUAUUACCUCUAAUCCUUCUAUGGAAAAGCGCUGAACCAAAUUUCUUUAUAUAUCUGAAGUAUUUCGAAGAAUAUAAAAGGUAAUUUUUAAGCAUCACACUGUCUUAAAACAUUUCUUAACAAUAUUCUAUGUACACAUUGAUGCCUUUUAAAAGAAAUGCAAGUUAUAUCACAAUUUGUGGAACUUUGUGAGUUUUCAAAUUUAUGGUCUACAAGCAAAAUCAAAGUAAAUAAGGUAAGUAUAACUUUAAGACCUAAACCUUAUGUAAGCAAAUUAUUGUUAAUGAUGAUUACAAAAGGUAAACAGGGCACUAUAUUGUGUGUAAAACAGAAGGUUUCCUCCACAUCAGUGUAUAUAUGUUCUUUCAAAAAAACCAAGCCUGUUAAAACUAUUUGAGGCACCAUUGAACAUACAGGUGCUAUAUAUUUGUUGUGGAGUUCCUCCAUUAGUAAGCACCAAAUAACCGCACCUGCCAAAGCUUUGAAGAGCUUGUGAGGUCAGAUUGUCAAUUAUGGUCUAUGCCCACUUUGCACUUCCUCUCUGCAUUCACACAAAUCCAUUCGCCACACAAUGCAUUUUAAAUCAAAGCCACAUCACCCUAACAUGCCUUAGGAAACAUUAAGCCAUAGUAUGUUACUUUCAUGUGUGAUAGCAUGACUCCUUUGGGCUUUGAAGUGCUCCCUUUUUAAUGCUUUAUUAAUAAUAACACUCUGUGGCUUCCUCUGACUGCAUGGAUGCUGCUUUGCGUAUCUCUCUCUCUCUCUCUCUCUCUCUCUCUCUCUCUCUCUCUCUCUCUCUCUCUCUCACACACUCUCUCACUCACUUUUCCUCUUUCUCUCUCCCUCUUCCUCAGUCUCUUAAGCAGGUCAUCAGGGGUUUGUUUUUGGGCUUUAGAUUAGACAGCAUACAGGCACUUCAGUGAUGCCAGAAUUCAACCUUGCACUCAGAAAGUGGCUGAAGAACAACCCUGCUAUUUGACACAUUCUCUUUCUAACCUACUGCCCCUCAAUGUUCUAGCACCAGCAGCAGGGGGAGCAUCAGGAUUACACACCCUGCUUAAUUUGUGUUUGUGUGUGUGCCUCUGUGUGUGCCUC
Molecule: long non-coding RNA, 1688 nt
Organism: Tachysurus fulvidraco (yellow catfish)
Lineage: Eukaryota; Metazoa; Chordata; Actinopteri; Siluriformes; Bagridae
Exons: 3
Source: RefSeq, a predicted model, not a curated record